GCCUGGGUGGCUCAGUCGGUUGAGCGUCAGGCUUCAGCUCAGGUCAUGAUCUUGUGGUCUGUGAGUUCGAGCCCCGCAUCAGGCU
RNAcentral lists this transfer RNA (85 nucleotides) under Felis catus (domestic cat). It matches the Rfam family "tRNA". From Rfam's summary of the family: Transfer RNA (tRNA) molecules are approximately 80 nucleotides in length. Lineage: Eukaryota; Metazoa; Chordata; Mammalia; Carnivora; Felidae. The record is from Rfam by way of RNAcentral.